AUGUACAAAGAACUCCACACUCUGCUAGCAGCGUCCAAGGGCAGGAUUCUUGUACAUUUCGUUACCCUGCCUACUCGAAAGAAUGGAGCCGACACAGGGGGACAUAAGGCUUGCUGGCUAACCCCUUUAAUUAUCGGGAUGGUAAGGAGGGCAGCCAUCAAUCCCCUGAAGACUGCAGAGUACAAGAGCGUGUAGCAAGCCACCAGUUCCCUCUUACCCUUCCAGAAGACAGCAUCAGGUAACAGUUGUAGGGGAAAGCAGGGUAGGAUUUGUGCAACUUUCCUCUCAAACCAAGUCAGACCCAUCUGUUUUGCAGGUUUCAUUUGAAUUAACAUAUUCACAUCAGCCUGAAUUGUAAGGUACUAAAACCAUGCAGACUGAAUUCACUGAAACCCACUGAACCAAAACCAGCAAGUUUCCCACAGCUCCAUGUGGUCUGCAUAGCAUAGAGAGCAGAACAAAAAGAAAACACAGAAAAUAUUGUGUAAGUGCAAAUAUUUCCCUCUAACCAUCCUGUGUAGGUUUGAUUGAGGCUGAACACAUUGCUUACAGCUCCACUGUUGAUCUGUGCUAGACUAUUAGAGCUAUACUUUCCAGUUGCUGAUUAGCUUUCUGAUGUGCACUCUGGAGAGCCUAAUACUGGGAGAGGUGGAGCUAUUACCAAUGGCAGAAAAAACACCUGAAACUACAAGUAAAUUACUGCCCUGGAUGCCAAAAUGAUGAAUGUUUUGUUUUAAAAUCUUCUUAAAGGAAAUCUAGGAGUUGAAACAUCAGGCUGUUUGAAAUUCCUGAAAAUAAAGAGAUCACACUUUUGUUAUGCCUUCUGACC
RNAcentral lists this long non-coding RNA (829 nucleotides) under Chrysemys picta bellii (western painted turtle). RNAcentral describes it as "lncRNA (ENSCPBG00000018550.1)". The record is from RNAcentral. Lineage: Eukaryota; Metazoa; Chordata; Testudines; Emydidae.